AUACGGAGGGUGCGAGCGUUAAUCGGAAUUACUGGGCGUAAAGCGCGCGUAGGCGGCUUGUUAAGUCAGAUGUGAAAGCCCUGGGCUUAACCUGGGAACUGCAUUUGAUACUGGCAGGCUAGAGUAUGGUAGAGGGAAGUGGAAUUCCGGGUGUAGCGGUGAAAUGCGUAGAGAUCCGGAGGAACACCAGUGGCGAAGGCGACUUCCUGGACCAAUACUGACGCUGAGGUGCGAAAGCGUGGGGAGCAAACAGGAUUAGAAACCCCAGUAGUCC
This 274-nucleotide ribosomal RNA is filed under the name uncultured bacterium. Its description in RNAcentral is "partial 16S ribosomal RNA". It matches the Rfam family "Bacterial small subunit ribosomal RNA", at positions 523 to 796 of the family's 1533-position model. The record is from RNAcentral.